GCCUGGGUGGCUCAGUUGGUUAAGCAUCCGACUUUGGCUCAGAUCAUGAUGUCACGGUUCGUGGGUUCAAGCCCCGCGUCGGGCU
This 85-nucleotide transfer RNA is filed under the name Felis catus (domestic cat). It matches the Rfam family "tRNA". Rfam says of the family: Transfer RNA (tRNA) molecules are approximately 80 nucleotides in length. Their secondary structure includes four short double-helical elements and three loops (D, anti-codon, and T loops). The record is from Rfam by way of RNAcentral. Lineage: Eukaryota; Metazoa; Chordata; Mammalia; Carnivora; Felidae.